This 7314-nucleotide ribosomal RNA is filed under the name Triticum aestivum (bread wheat). RNAcentral describes it as "partial small subunit ribosomal RNA". Lineage: Eukaryota; Viridiplantae; Streptophyta; Magnoliopsida; Poales; Poaceae. The record is from RNAcentral.
GAGCGUAGUAGUAAUUGUAAUCGUGUUUAAACCAAAUAACUGAAUAACGUUUUUAGACUUUCUCUUUUCGCCUUGUUCGGAGGCGUGAGUAUCGGAAAAGGAUAUUUAACAGGUUUAGAACUGUGCUAAUGAAAUAACCUGAGAUUUUGAUGGAAUUUAGGUAGAGCUGUAUCUUCCCUCGGCGAUUGAUCUAAGAACAAGUAUCAUCCCUGUACGACGUGCAAGGAAUCAACGUGCUAGAAAGGGCUUCAUUUGAAGUCUAGGUGGCACGGUUACGGUGCUUGUCUUCGUACACUGGGUAAGGGGUAAUCCUGCCUUCUUAGGGAACGCUGGACUAUUCUUCAUUUGUCCCUCUACAGUCGUGUAUGUACUUGCAAUCGUGGGCUUAGUUAGGUGGUGCUUCUACUAACUUUAUGACUUUCGUGUUAUCCAUUUAAUGGUAUGGGUAGUCAUAACGAUCGCCAGUGGUACAACUGUCAGAACCUCGAACAAAAGGGAGACGCCAGACGUGCAAGUCCCGUAAGGAACCUUUUCACAGGUCCGAAGGGUGUCCGCAUCGUGAGAUCGAGUCGGAACAACUUGAAGAAGAAGAACUUCCAUCAUCAGAACCAUCCGAACAACUUUUGUACAAACAAGAAGGGAAACAAGAACAAGACACCCAUGGAGACGUGGUACAAUCGUCAUCCGACUUGGAGUGGAGGAAAAAGUCACCAUAGAAAUCGGGCUCGAAAAAGAAGUUGUAGUUCUCUACGUUAGUCUAAAAGUUAACUAUAGAGGACAGAGAAUACGAAGUCUCAACACCGCUUUAAGGAGGUACUUCCUCCGUUAAAACGUUAGUACGUGGGUCGGUGCUUAAACAGCCCAUCUUGUGUAAAUUCCUCAAGUACAAGGAAGUGUUACGUGACAUGAGUACUCGAACAAGUUGGUGUCUUGCCAAUAAGUGGUAGAACAUCAGUACUUUUGAGAGGUACUACAUGUCAAGUGACGGACGUAGACAACGUGGCUUAAAACGUAAGUCACGUAGGGUGUCUUAAAAAGGCAGCAAAUACACGUACAUGUGUAAUGUGUCUGCCAGUCGUUCUUGUGAGUCUUACGUAGGGUGUUUGUAUCAUAACCGAAGGACCUUAAAAGAGGCUAGAAGCAGCCAGUAAGGGAGACCUCGUGGUUGUGAUCGCACCUUUUGAAAGUCUCGUCAUUCGGUCUCGCACCAGAAGUGGACGGUGGAGAAUUUCACGUGUGGCCAUUUGAAUAGGCCGGAGUCACGUAGUCGCUUAGGUCGGUAUCAAUUGAGUCCUUUAACGGAUCUUAAUCCAAAAACCUAACAACCUUAUAAUCCGUUCAAGUACUAAUUAAGGUCAUUUAUUAAGUACUGAUCUUCUCUAGGAUCGUACGUUAUUAGAUCGUUUGAUCUUCUUGUCGUUCUGUACGUAUUGUCGUCGUUUGUGCAUUGUUAUCGACAUCUUUGUCUGUACUUGUCUCCUACAACCUGCAUGACUAGCAAUCGAUAAUACCCACGCUGUCACAACUACUACUACAACCGCUGCUAGACGACGACUGCCGCUACUUAUGCUGCUACUCAUCGUGGCGGGCUGAACUUGCCUUCUGCUGGGCACUACUGCUUAAACUCGUCAGCACGUGUCGCGAAGGGUUUUUGGAUUAAGCAGGAGAGGGCCACGUCCUAGCGUUUCUGCUUGCCAAGGCCUCUGGACGAGAGGGUGCGCGGCUACGUGCGGCCGCAAACCCUACCUCAUCUGAUGCUACCGCCGCGUUCAACACUCUACUCCGUUUUGGGAUCCACAAAAGCCACACAGAGACCGGCGUCGGCCAUCGACAUAUAUAUAAUCCUGGUCUCCGCCAUAACACAGCGCUGGUGUUAGGGUUGGGCUGAGCCAAAGAUUAAGCAUAUGAAUGGCCUGUUCUUUAGUUUUUGAACAGACGGUUCUGUAUUUUUAUUUUGCCGUUUUCCUUCGACGCGAGGACGUUCCUCUGCCUGGCCUAAAGCCGCCUGGUAAGCGGAGCGGAGCUCGCGCACGCACACCAAAAGGGAAAGAGAAGAGUGUGUGGUGAAUCUCACCACCUCUCUUGGGUGAUAUAUUUCUCCAGGUUGAGAAAAAGUUGAAGGUUCCACCCUGAUUUGAAUCGUGGUGGUGAACGGUAAAAUGUGUACCCGAAACGCUAAAGUCUUUAACGAUACCCGGAUCGGGUAAUUAAGAUUGUUAUGUUACAUACAUACUGCUACUGGUCAACGUGAUUUGGUCUUAACCUAUUUCCUGUACUCUUUAAAUACAUAAGGUCGAAAUACCCCGUUAAUACGUUACUUUGUCGGAAGAAAAAUUUGAGCUAAAAUCAACCCGGCCUUAUGUGUUGGGUAGUCUUUUCAUUUGAUUUCCAUUUCCAAGGGGCCCUUAGAACUCCUAUGUCAACUCACAUGUUCUUCGAAUGCUGCCACAUACUCUCUAGAGGAAGUCACUUCCAGUCUGCAUGAGCACGAUAACAACAAUUUUUUUUCUCCCACCGUAACGGUGGUACUACACCUGUUACGUGAAUUAUGUAUAACACUAUCUACUUUGUGGGGGUUAGACCGGACUCGACCCUUAUCCAGGAGGCCCUUAGUACGACUAAAACAAUAUAGUGUCAGCUGCUUUUCCUUGGUAGUCAAAUUAACUUGUUCUUGUGGUAACUGUUUACUGUUGUGUUUGUAUCUACGGUACUGUUUCUACCUUAUAAUUCACGGAAACUCACGGUUGAACCUCCCCCGUUUCCAGUUUCUUAGUUGUUCUAAUACCAAAAGGAACCUCCUGAGGGUAUUAACACGACGUUUAUCUUACAGGGCGAUAUUUACUUCUAACCGGUUACCGUUGUGUCGUGUCCUGGGGCUUGUGUGUACGUGUGCGAAGGAUAGUUCUACUUUUCUCCGGAUGAUCAUCAUGAAACCAGGAACAAGACGGAGACACACCGUCUGUGUCGAUGGCCGUUGUUCGGGUUUGUGGGAUAACUCAAACUAGUUAACCUUUAUAGGUCCUUUAUACAAGGUCGUUUUGUCGUACGUAGACGCUCGUUCUCGGGAAGAUCAAGAAGUCAGGUACCACCGAGUGUUCUAAUAGUCGCUUUCUCCCUAUUCUAGUAUCGUUACGGUCCGGUCUACCUCCUUCGCCUUAAGUGUGUUAUACGUCCUAUACAGUGCCACCUACGUUUACGACCUUCCCGAAACAAGAUGAUAAAACGACUCCGAGGAGUUCUAGGAAGGUUGUUUGGUGAUCAGGAUACCUACUUACCUCCAUACAAUAUACACGAGACGAAUAGGUAUUUGAACGUCAUAUUAAAUUGGUAUUUUGAUACACUCACUCUGGUCGUUGCUACGUCUACACGUGAACUCUAACUUAGGACAAUGUUUGGAAGAAACUCCUGAUAACGAUUACUCCAAACGUCCGGGACCAACAAGUAGGAAACCUCGACCUCGGUACGAUCUUGAACCUGGGAAGAGACAGGUAUCACUAUUGUUCUGUGACAUGUUCUUUUUUGUACGUACCUUGUGUCCAUUUAAGUAAGGUCGGACGGGUAUAAAUUAACAAUUGUUUCUCCAGCGUAAAUAUGGGUCUACUUAAAUGGUCAGAAGUAGGUGUUUACGUCAUCGUUUAUACGACAAACAACUCUAGGGUCGGCCACAACCCAUGAGUAUGAGGUUGUGCUGUAGUCUGAUAGUGUUGUGACCACUGUUUUCUUCGUGUCUACUACGCAUGUGGAAGGAACAGUUAACCGACCUCUCUAAAGGGUUCAUGGCUCUGGCACUAAAGAAGUAUUGGCCGCUCUCAAUACGACCGGUGAUACAUGGUCUCGAUCGAUUAAACUAAUAAAGAUUGUUGUCUCGGUCUCCGCGCUGAUUACAGUUCGAAUUUCCACAACGACAUUCACAAAUUGUUAUUGACAAAACUUUGAAGAUUACGGUCAUUCUAAGAUUAGUUACUAUGGUGAGACUUUAAACCAGUCUAGCCGUUGCGUCUGAACGUUAUGUUAAACUGAGAUUCUCGCUGCAAACUGAUGAAGACCUACGUACGAUACUAAAGACCUUUUUGGAUGUCUUGACAUGUCCGGUUGACACCGAAGUUGCCCUGUAUAUGAUUUCUAACACUAUUACGGUACUUGAACCGGUAUUUCCUCUUCCCAUUACAACUACUGAUGUUGUAGAUACGUGGUUAUACGGCACUACGGAGGUCAGGAGAGUCUAGUUCACUGGGCCAUAUGUGUUAAUUUGUGUAAUUAGGUGUAUAAACAGUUUAGGGCAAAGAAUGUAUAUACGGAGAACCCUAUGACUUAAACACCGACUGGUUACAUUACAUUCCACCACAAGCCACUAGGUACGUGUUUAGUGAUACAGAGUAGAAUAGAUUUAGCAGGACUCCAGGUUUCUCGGGAUGUGCGUUUGUGUUGUCCCAACUUGAUGGGUACCUGCCUAACGUCCAUAUUUCUAACCUUAUGGGUUCAUCCAAAGUUUAAAAACGUCGGUUAAAAUCCGUGUUAAUAAAGGGUCGUUAUUAAGGUAAGAAAACAAAAGAAUCCCGAUAGACUUUUCCAUUAGGUAUGUAAAUUCAUGUUUAAUGUUUAAUAAAUAUACUGACUGGGAUUCUUGAAGUAGUGAUCUCUUCAUGAACAUUCGGAGGGUAGUGAGUGAAGGCUAAACGAAAUGACGGUUUUUCCAUGGAUAUUAGAUAUAUUCGGUCGGUAGUUUCUAAUUCUGAGACACUUGGUGUCUGGUGCCAUCCAUAAUUUUUCACCUGUUAUUUCUCCCGUAUUACCGUAUUCUAAGAAGUGGGAUAUGUCUGAUAUGAAAACGAACACGUCCCCGUAGUUAGACUUUAAUACGUAUUUGGAAAAAAUGACGACCCUUAAAAGAGUCAGAAGCCAUAGUUCGUUGGAGCAUGAUUUCCUUAUAGUUCCUUUUAAGCUAUUGACCUUUCGUUAGUUGAACAUAAUCUGAAUCUUAUACAAGGAUUAGCUAAAGUUACAGAGUGAGUUCGUCAGUUGAACAUAAGCUAUUGACCUUUCUAAGUGGCCUCUGGCACGACGGUAGCUAGUCCUUUGAGUAAAGUUCACCGUGUUCCCAUACCGACAUGUCCAUGAGGAUAUAUAUAUCGGGGCCCUAAGACCAAGAGUUCAUGGCUUCGUUAGUUAACAAUUACAGAAUAAUUAGGGACUAGUUGACGUGGGAACACAUGGUCACCACUAUACCUACGUCAUACAAGACACUGGAGCUGGGUUAUGCGUGACCUGUAAGAACUGGACGGGUGUCUUUGUAGAACCGCGGGUACCGCGCAGUUGUUACUCCAUUUCUUAGGUGCCGACUAGUGGACUGAUUGCGACUUGACUUGUCAUCUCUUGAAGUCUAAUGUAAUAAUAAAGGAUUAAGGAUAUCGAUGUACGCUUACUUCGAUUUUUAACAAAUGACCAAGGAAGGACUUUACCGUCCAACGGCCGAUACACCAACCCAUGUUCCCGGACCACAAACGUUGUCAGUUUCCUCGCCCCGUGUACCAGGGAAUGAUAGUCGGGGCGUCCCGGGAUCGCGAUAAGAGUAGGAAGGAUCUUCCUUUCGAAGGCGGUGUUACUAGAUUAACAAUCCCUAUUUAAUCGUGUAUAGAUAACAUUUUGCAGCGAUCGCUUCAGGCUGGGGUUCUUCAGCGUAGGGAAGAGAGAGAAAUGUACAUUUACAGUAGGAAACCUACGUAAGGGCGUCUGUACGUAUAUAUAGGAAACAUAGUGACUUUAGCUACUACGAACCGGUAAGUGAAGGAAGGUCAGAGCAAAAUGAAAUAUUAAAAAUCUAGUAGGCCUUCCGAGUUUUCCGGGAAGGCCAUAUAUACUUUGGUGUUUAAGGUUUGUUUCCAGCUCCUAAGCCUUCGAUGUCGUUCUUGCAGAUCUUUCCGAUUUCAUCGAUCUUCAUCGUCUAUUGAUCUGUGUAGGUUUCGGAUAGUGGGUUUAAUUUCGUAUACUUUGGGUCACGAUCCGCCUUUCUGUAGAAGAUCAUCAAUCCGUCGAGAGGCAGUAUACCGAACGUAAAGGUCGCCGUGGUGGUUACAGCUCCUUCAGGACCAGAAGGAGUAGCCGCUGACCCAACCUCUCGGCCGGUCGAGGUCUCCCCUUCGACCCGACUCACCCCUCCAGAAGCCGUGGGACCAAUCGUGUCAACCCCUCUUACCUGCGCUUCCUCGUCAUGGGUGUCCUUAUAGAUCUGUCCCGAGGUCAUUACCUUUACGAAAAUUCGGGACAUGUUACCCUCCACGAAUCCCCUCCACGAAUCUCUUUAUUUGGUCUGAAAGGAAUUCGUGGCCACGAAUAAACAUGUCCCAUCUGCGAAUUGAUUCGCAGAGAGGACAUCUUUAUCCGUGGCCACGAAGUCUUUUAGAGCCAAAUAAAAAGAUUCGUGGGGAGAUUCGUAGAGGGUAACAUGUUCCGGAGAUUUGUAUCGUGGGAGUCACGGUAACAGAUCGGGGCAAUGGGGUGUCUGUCAUCGCCUCGAAGUGUGUUUAACGAACCACCCGGUACGAUUUCUUGUGUGUUUUAUAAGUUUGAUUUAGUAAACGUAAUGUUUGAUUUAGAAGAACAAACAAUGUUCUAGUUCACUCGUCUAAUUUUCUUCAAUACGGUUUUUUAAAUGAUGAGGGAAUGUAACAUGUCUCCUACGCACCCUCACACACUAUUAAACGGUCCGUGAUGUUAAAACUGACCGGAACGUGUAUCGAUGUAUAUGAUGUUAAACAUUAGACAUUUGUUGUUAAUUCACUUAACAAAUACGAUCGUAUAACCAUUGCUCUACUUAUCUACUACUGGACUCACUUUAAAUCCCCUUCUUCUUGCGCAGUUUUUUUAAAUCCCCUGGUUUUAACCCUUACUAAGUUUCUUUAAUAUACACUUAUAACGUCACUAAGUCCUCUUAACCUCUCUAACUCCCAUGCUAUCCUAGUUUAAGUUCUUCCUCGAGUAAAAACCCACAACGGACUCAACGGCCACCAUCGAUGCACAUGAACACCGGCGCACCUCAGCACCCGACCGGCUGAGGCUGAGCGGGACGACGACACACGCCACACGGCCACCCGGCAGGCCGGCACCCGCCGCCGACUACACACGGCGUCAGGGGCACCGGCCACCCACCGCGGCGCCCUCCUCGUGCGGCGACGACUACCUGGGUUUUUUUUUUUCCUUACGUGCGCGGCUCGAUACCCCAAGAAGAGAGUAUCGCUUCCCCUCCUCCAUCUUUCUUUCUCUACUCUUGUGCAACCCACCACUCCUCUACUCGCUUCUCCUUCCGGUGCCCUUACU